This 497-nucleotide ribosomal RNA is filed under the name uncultured bacterium. Its description in RNAcentral is "partial 16S ribosomal RNA". It matches the Rfam family "Bacterial small subunit ribosomal RNA", at positions 28 to 507 of the family's 1533-position model. The record is from RNAcentral.
GAUGAACGCUGGCGGCGUGCCUAAUACAUGCAAGUCGAGCGAACAGACGAGGAGCUUGCUCCUCUGACGUUAGCGGCGGACGGGUGAGUAACACGUGGAUAACCUACCUAUAAGACUGGGAUAACUUCGGGAAACCGGAGCUAAUACCGGAUAAUAUAUUGAACCGCAUGGUUCAAUAGUGAAAGACGGUUUUGCUGUCACUUAUAGAUGGAUCCGCGCCGCAUUAGCUAGUUGGUAAGGUGACGGCUUACCAAGGCAACGAUGCGUAGCCGACCUGAGAGGGUGAUCGGCCACACUGGAACUGCGACACGGUCCAGAUUCCUACGGGAGGCAGCAGUAGGGAAUCUUCCGCAAUGGGCGAAAGCUUGACGGAGCAACGCCGCGUGAGUGAUGAAGGUCUUCGGAUCGUAAAACUCUGUUAUUAGGGAAGAACAAAUGUGUAAGUAACUAUGCACGUCUUGACGGUACCUAAUCAGAAAGCCACGGCUAACUACGUG